Molecule: ribosomal RNA, 1465 nt
Filed under: Desulfosarcina sp.
Lineage: Bacteria; Pseudomonadati; Thermodesulfobacteriota; Desulfobacteria; Desulfobacterales; Desulfosarcinaceae
Description: bacterial SSU rRNA
Rfam family: Archaeal small subunit ribosomal RNA
Source: RNAcentral
AAUCAAUACCCGUUGAUCCUGCGGGAGGUUGCUGCUAUUCGGAUUCGAAUUAGCCAUGCAAGUCAGAUAGCAAUAUCGGCAGACUGCUCAGUAACACGUCGGUAAUCUAACCUUAGGUCAGGGAUAAUCUCGGGAAACUGAGUGUAAUACCUGAUAGGAGAAACAUACUGGAAUGUAGUUUCUUUCAAACUCGUGCCUAAGGAUGAGCCGGCGGUGGAUUAGGCUGUUGGUGGGGUAACGGCCCACCAAACCACAGAUCCAUAGGGGCCUUGAGAGAGGGAGCCCCGAGAGGGACACUGAGAUACUGGUCCCAGCCCUACGGGGUGCAGCAGGCGCGAAACCUUUACAAUGCACGAAAGUGUGAUAAGGGGAUCCGAAGUGCUCAUACUAUGUAUGGGCUUUUGCCAAAGGUAAAGUCUUUGGCGAAUAAGUGGUGGGCAAGACUGGUGCCAGCCGCCGCGGUAACACCAGCGCCACGAGUGGCAACCAUGAUUAUUGGGCCUAAAGCGUUCGUAGCCGGUUUAGUAAAUUUUCUGUGAAAUCGUUUCGCUCAACGUAACGACGUGCAGGAAACACUGCUAGACUUGAGACCGGGAGGAGCAAGGAGUAUUCUUGGGGGAGCGGUAAAAUGUUAUAAUCCCUUGAAGACUACCUGUGGCGAAGGCGCCUUGCUAGAACGGAUCUGACGGUGAGGGACGAAAGCCAGGGGAGCGAUCCGGAUUAGAUACCCGAGUAGUCCUGGCCGUAAACGCUGUGAUCUAGGUGUUGCACAUCCUCCGAGGAUGUGCAGUGUCGAAGCGAAGGCAUUAAGAUCACCGCCUGGGAAGUACGGUCGCAAGACUGAAACUUAAAGGAAUUGGCGGGGGAGCACCACAAGGGGUGCGGCGUGCGGUUUAAUCUAACUCAACACAGAGAAUUUCACCAGUGGCGACGGCAGAAUGAAGGUCAGUCUGAAGGGCUUACCCAACGAGCCGAGAGGUAGUGCAUGGCCGUCGUCAGCUCGUGCCGUGAGGUGUCCUGUUAAGUCAGGCAACGAGCGAGACCUGUAUCUACAAUUGCUAACAGCAUUUUGGACUGAGCACAUUGUAGAGACUGCCCUGGAAACAGGGAGGAAGGUGCAGGCAACGGUAGGUCUGUAUGCUCCGAAUCCACUGGGCUACACGCGCGCAACAAUGGUUGGGACAAUGGGAUGCAACUCCGAAAGGAGAAGCUAAUCCUCUAAACCCAGUCUAAGUCCAGAUUGAGGAUUGUAACUCAUCCUCAUGACGUUGGAAUCCCUAGUAAUCGGACUUCAUCAGAGUCCGGUGAAUAUGUCCCUGCUCCUUGCACACACCGCCCGUCAAACCACUCGAGCAGAGUUUAGGUAAGGGUUAGUUUUUUGAUUGAUCCGAAUCUAAGCUCAGUGAGAUGGGUUAAGUCGUCACAAGGUAGCCGUAGGGGAACCUGCGGCUGGAUCACCUCCUUU